AGCGGUCUCAACACCUAUACCAGAGCGCGAAGUAGUACGAAUGACUCUUCCCAGCAGUUUACAACGGCGCGACCUUCAUGCGGCCCAGUUCACUUCGAUCGCAGCGCCGCCCCAUUAUUUUUCUACGUCCUGCGCCUCACUGCAAAGCAUGCGCCGCCCCUGACAACUUUACUAGACUAGGUCUAGUAACGUUGUAACAGUGCAGCGUGAGGAAAACGGGAUCUCGUGCUCUCUUUGAGAAAUGAAACAAACUUGGGGGAAUUAUGUGCGGCCUCCGAGAUGUGAAAACGCAACCGAUCUCGAGGACCAUGAAUAUAUGUGCGUGUUCUUUUUUUUUUUUUUGCGCGAGAGCAUUUUUUUUAUGCAUGCGUGUGAGUGCCUGACGACUUACGCCCUCUGUGUACUGAGCGGAGAGACCACGUUAUAGUGCUAUUAUAGUAGCCCGUGAGAGGUCGCGACAUUCGCGACUAUCAUUGAUAAGUGUCGGCAGUAGCUCAGUAAGCGGGUACCAUAGUGAAGUAAAUCAUGGGUUAGAAGAUUGUAAAUGUGCUGAAGAAGCUACAGCAUUUGGCCAAGCAUUUUAGGCAGUGACGUGCAACAUUAUAAUGCUGAAGCUGAAUGCACCGUCCGAAAAUGUAUAGAUGUUGCUUUGGCACGUUUUUGUGACGUGACAGAAUAACAGUCUUGUUAUAAGUAUGCAGUCAAUUGCGGACUAAACCACAACGUCCUACAGCCGAAGGUCAAUAUAUCGGAAGGAAGGUUAGCUUGGUCGCCUAUCCAGAGCUGCUGCAAGACGUUGCACACAAACUCUGAUGAGCUUCCGCGAGAGCCCGAAAUAGGCGCGGAGGGAGUGAAGCCGGUAAAGCCCGAGGCGAGUGACCGCGGGCCGCCUCCUGUGGCACCCCACGUGGUGGUGGCUGGCUCGGCGACCCGCCCCCCGAGAUGGUAGCCGAAGGAAGAGGACCCUCGCCCUCUCCUCCGCGGCACGCAGCCAGCGGUGGGUGACGGGCCGCUGCCGCCGAAACCGGGACCCAACUGACUUGGCCCCGUCCGAACCUCCCCUGCGGACACCCCCGACGUCCCCCGACGGGGCGCACCACGCCCCGGAGUCCCCAGACCACUCCCCAGGCCACACCGGCGCAACUCCCACACGCACACCUCCCGGCAGUCCCCAAACCGCCCAAACCAUCCGGACCACGCACACUUGCCUCGAGUGGACUCGUCCGUGCGCCGGCGGCGGCACCCCCCGCCUCCGGUAACGAAGACUGACCCGCAUGAAGCGGCGGCGCAGUGGGCGCAGUUGGUUCUUCAUUCUAUGGGCGCAGUGCAAUUCGUUCCGCUGCUCGGAGGUGUGGUAGUGGCGCAUAUGCACAUUUUCCUCCCCGUUACCGUUUAGUCAAUCGUCGCAAAGUAUGUGUUCGCUUCUUAAAACGACGUGAGCAUGGACCGCUGACAUAUUUGGUAAUGCAUCUUGCAAGAAGUAACAGUGUAUAAAUCUUAUUUGCAGAUAACUUUAGGGUCAUAAUGUUCUUUUAGAUGGUUGUAGUACGUGUAGCUUCCAUCUUAAUCACCGAUAUUAUUUCAUCGAAGGAUGAAAAGUCAUCUUUGAUUGUAUAAGCGGAUAUACGUGCAUGACUGUGGGCCGGUGAGUAUGACAAUACUGCACGCAGCCUCACUUGGUCCGGUCUAGCUGGUAUUUUCUCUCUCUUAUUUUCAGCUUCGAUAUCCGCACAAUGCAUGUUGCGUGUAAUGAUUCGUGUGCCACUUAUCACAGCAAACGAAGCAUGUCACAAGAGGUGUAAAAGAGGCAGCAAGGAAAUGUUUUUCCGGCGCCUGUAAUUGCUUCUGGUUACAGCAGCAUGCGAAAGUCUGGCCUUCGAGAUUAGUUUCUGCUUCUCGGAGGGAACCGUCGCUGGAUGCGCGAUCUAAGGAGACUAAACAUUGUUCUUACGGUAAAAAUAUACAGAAGAAUUAAGACAGGGUACACGCCGACUGAACGUCAUCUUUGCCUUUUUUCAAUAAUAUGUUUCGAGCCUUAUAGUGCUUGUCCCAUUCGUACAUUCUGUAAAGAGGUAAUUGUUAGAGCGCCGGGGUGUUUAACAUUUCGAACUAAUUAGGUGAAGGCAUGGUCAUGCAAAAACUUUGUCCAUACAUUUAUAGUGAGAAAUUAUAUGACUUUGUCCACCAGCAAACUGGACGCCAGCAUUGAGAAGAAAAAAGAAUUUCUAUGACGCCAGUGCGCUGCACCUGGCGGCAGCACGGGCGGCGCUGCGAAAAGCAGGCGAGCCCAUGGCAGCCGCUUGGGGAGGGGCUCGCAGGGGCUUCACCUGCUGCGCGCUUCGCCCCCUGCCCAGGUGGAUUCUCCCUCUAACCGACAUCGAGCCGCCUUCCUUCCUGGCAGUGACCUCCAGAGUGAACGAUGGCGGUUUUCCCUUUCGCUGCUGCGCGAACAAGGCGCCGACUGGAGCUGGGUGCGAUGCUCGGCGAGCGCGAAAUGGAGCAGCCGUUGGCCAAACGUAGCCUUGACCGAUAUCGCACCCGGCGCUUCUCUUUCCACUCGUUUCAGGCGAGAAACGCCGCCUCUGCUCCGGAGGGAAUCUGCUUCGCUAUGCUGUGCGACAACGUCGUUGUGUUAAGCGGUUCUCAACCACUCUUGUGCACCCGUGAUAGCGCUUCUAUGGCCCAAGAGGAGAGGAAUAGCUUAUGAGACAUAGCUUAUGAGGCAAAAUAAUAAAUGAGCAACAAUAUAGAUAAAAACAUUGUGCCCAUAUAAGUCUAUAGCAAGCAGCGUUGCUCGACACUUUCCACAUCGUCCCCGCUCGCUGUUCAUUCCACUGCAUCAUUUAGGGUGGUCGGAUGGUGGCGAGCUGCUCUACGUGUCAAGGUAACGGGUGAAGGUCGUUUGCCCCGAAAGCGGGGGAAGAAGACUUCGGAGCGCACGUAGCUAUCUUAGCUCUUAGUUAAAUCACAACGCGCUAAAAACGUUAUAUUAAACGUUAUCCGCGCCUGUCUUGUGUGUUCCUUCCUUGUCCCUUGUUUUUCAGUGCGGUUACAUGAUGCAUUCCAUUAACGACCACCAACUAGCCCGCUUAUCCCUGUUAAAUAAAUCCUUGCCGUGCGUGUUAUCUUUUCUAUUUGGCUUUCAUUAUAAAGUAUACUCAGCAGCAUAAAUAUACUAGUGAUCAUCAUUUCCAUCCAAUUUUACUAAAGUAUGGAUCGAUCAACUGUGCCCGACACCGGCCGCCGGCAUCGCAGCUUGACGCUCGUGGAAACGAAACCUGCGGACCUUGACCUAGGGAGGGCCGCGCCGUUGUUACGAAUCGGCAGGCCGGGAGUUCCUCGACCGCUGUGGGCGCGUGGUCCGCAAACACCGAAACCGCGAUAUUCUGUUGCGGGAAGCGGCCAACUGCUCCAGUUGGGCGCAGCUGUAGCGAGGCCAGCAGGUCAGCCGGCUUCGGGGUCGGGGGACACCGGUGGAUGACCUGGACUGGACAAGAGCCAAAACUCGUAACAUCGCGCGCCCUAUAUAUACGGAGCAUUCAGUGACCCGCCUUGACCACGAUCCGAAGAUGCAGGUGUGUCCACAGAGGGUCUGAUAUCAAGCUAUAGGAGCAAAGCUUUUGAAGCAUAUUAGCAAUGCCCGGGAUUACGUUUAUGCAUGCACACGAUCUUUUGCAUCCAACGGUCGACGAAACAGGUGCAUCGGCUGCGUGUCGAAAACGAGGUUGCUCACGCCAUUUCCAAUUAAUGAACUCUCUUAUUAGCAAAUAAUUUUUGAAAACAGCGUUUUCAGAGUGACCUAUAUGAACCUGGUGCUACAGGACAGACUCGUGAGCGCGGUCCCUGUUAAUGGCUGUAAAGGUCCGUGUAAUUAUUCCCGCCCUUAUUCUCUAUACGCGUAGUGCGCGCCGAUGGACGCGCCACUGGUGGCGGCCUUGCGCAGAACACACGGGAGAGGAGCCAGCGGCGCGCCGUAUUUUUCUUGUGUCGUUUAUAGUGCUUCUCUUAAGAGCAAAAUGGGCAACACCCUUCGCAUGUGUGGGGUGCCCAAAGCUUCAAGGAAUCUCGAAGAAGAAUUGUUGCAGGGUGGGGGGCUCAAAUACCGGCGAAAACCUGCCGGCGAUAGGGUUCUAAUCAUUCCCCGCAAAGCCUCAUCAGCGGGAGCAACGGUAGCAAAAAUGGAUCGUCGCUCCGCGGGAAAUUUCUAGCUCUCAUCCUUUCCUUUGUCUCGUCGGUGUUUUUUCCCACUCGAUCAUAGUUAGACGCGUACGCGACGAAGUUCGUCUGCAGCGCAGCAUGCGGUUUAAAGGCAUUUCGCUAAAGUUCGGAAGGACGUUUGCCGCAUUGUUUUCCGCUUCUUUACCGCGUUGCGCUAGCUAGGCAGCACGACUGCACGAGCGCAUUGUGUUGUAUGUUAAAGCUACUGAAGUUUGCAAGAACUGAAAUUGUUGGUGUUAUGUGGCCCGGUAAAUCCACGCACCAGCGCUGUCGCGCACUGCAUGUUUUUACACCUAUUUUAUGCGUGGCUUCGCACAUGUUUAACUGUUGCUAGUUGCUCCAUACAUAACUCUUGUUGAUUCUUUUGAGCUGCGAGGUUUUCACCCUGCCUCGUUUGUAAAGGGUAUAAAUCACGCUGUGUCUUAUCGGAAUGAUACCAAGCAAGUGCUUCUUUAACAGCUUUAUUCUCUUUGCCCGAUGGCUUCUUAGAUAUUGUGUUCUUUGGGAAAAUGUGUUUAGAAAAUAGGUAGUUCAGGGCCAGAAUUGCUAAUAGUGGCUGCAUAUGGUACUUUUGUUUCAUUUUUUCGCUGAAAAGUUCGCGUCACGUUUAGGAAGUCAUCACACCUCGAUGCUGCCUGAGCAGACUUAACACGCCGAGUGAUUUGUUUGUUCCACAACGUAGUCCCUUCUUGCAUGUGAAUUUUGUACUCAACUGCAUUCUUUCUUAUUAUGCUUACGCUGCAGAGGACUAAACCCGGCCUUGCCGUCAGCGCUCAUCUACUUCGACUGGCGCUGCUGUGCCUUUAAAUAUAUCAUGUGGCACCUCCGUCUAGUAAUAUAAAAAAAGUACUGAAAAGUUAGUCAGACUUUAGCUUCGUACGUUUCCAAACGGGUUCCUUGGGGAAUUUAAAAUUCCAAAAACUGCAGCGGGAACGGCAGUCCAUCGGCGUAUGCAGCAGAAUUGCAUCGGCGGUACAGCACUAACACGCGCUUUUAUUAACCCGUGUGUUUGGUGACUUCGUCGGCUAGUGUACGCGUUUCCAUCAAUAAAUUCGCAAUUACUCUUCUU
Dermacentor andersoni is the source of this 5287-nucleotide long non-coding RNA. RefSeq lists it as uncharacterized. The record is from RefSeq and is a predicted model, not a curated record. NCBI's taxonomy places the organism in Eukaryota, Metazoa, Arthropoda, Arachnida, Ixodida, Ixodidae.